Molecule: ribosomal RNA, 657 nt
Filed under: Salmonella enterica
Lineage: Bacteria; Pseudomonadati; Pseudomonadota; Gammaproteobacteria; Enterobacterales; Enterobacteriaceae
Also listed under: 1 other name
Description: bacterial SSU rRNA
Rfam family: Bacterial small subunit ribosomal RNA
Source: RNAcentral
AAAUUGAAGAGUUUGAUCAUGGCUCAGAUUGAACGCUGGCGGCAGGCCUAACACAUGCAAGUCGAACGGUAGCACAGAGAGCUUGCUCUCGGGUGACGAGUGGCGGACGGGUGAGUAAUGUCUGGGAAACUGCCCGAUGGAGGGGGAUAACUACUGGAAACGGUAGCUAAUACCGCAUAACGUCGCAAGACCAAAGUGGGGGACCUUCGGGCCUCACACCAUCGGAUGUGCCCAGAUGGGAUUAGCUAGUAGGUGGGGUAACGGCUCACCUAGGCGACGAUCCCUAGCUGGUCUGAGAGGAUGACCAGCCACACUGGAACUGAGACACGGUCCAGACUCCUACGGGAGGCAGCAGUGGGGAAUAUUGCACAAUGGGCGCAAGCCUGAUGCAGCCAUGCCGCGUGUAUGAAGAAGGCCUUCGGGUUGUAAAGUACUUUCAGCGAGGAGGAAGGCGUUGUGGUUAAUAACAACAGCGAUUGACGUUACUCGCAGAAGAAGCACCGGCUAACUCCGUGCCAGCAGCCGCGGUAAUACGGAGGGUGCAAGCGUUAAUCGGAAUUACUGGGCGUAAAGCGCACGCAGGCGGUUUGUUAAGUCAGAUGUGAAAUCCCCGGGCUCAACCUGGGAACUGCAUUUGAAACUGGCAAGCUUGAGUCU